RNAcentral lists this ribosomal RNA (301 nucleotides) under uncultured bacterium. RNAcentral describes it as "partial 16S ribosomal RNA". It matches the Rfam family "Bacterial small subunit ribosomal RNA", at positions 509 to 809 of the family's 1533-position model. The record is from RNAcentral.
CAGCAGCCGCGGGAAAACGGAGGGUGCAAGCGUUAUCCGGAUUUAUUGGGUUUAAAGGGUCCGUAGGCGGAUCUGUAAGUCAGUGGUGAAAUCUCACAGCUUAACUGUGAAACUGCCAUUGAUACUGCAGGUCUUGAGUAAAUUUGAAGUGGCUGGAAUAAGUAGUGUAGCGGUGAAAUGCAUAGAUAUUACUUAGAACACCAAUUGCGAAGGCAGGUCACUAAGAUUUAACUGACGCUGAUGGACGAAAGCGUGGGGAGCGAACAGGAUUAGAUACCCCCGUAGUCCCUGUCUCUUAUAA